GAUGAACGCUGGCGGCGUGCCUAAUACAUGCAAGUCGAGCGAACGGACGAGAAGCUUGCUUCUCUGAUGUUAGCGGCGGACGGGUGAGUAACACGUGGAUAACCUACCUAUAAGACUGGGAUAACUUCGGGAAACCGGAGCUAAUACCGGAUGAUAUUUGAACCGCCUGGUUCAAAAGGGAAAGACGGUCUUGCCGGCACUUAUAGAUGGAUCCGCGCUGCAUUAGCUAGUUGGUAAGGUAACGGCUUACCAAGGCAACGAUGCAUAGCCGACCUGAGAGGGUGAUCGGCCACACUGGAACUGAGACACGGUCCAGACUCCUACGGGAGGCAGCAGUAGGGAAUCUUCCGCAAUGGGCGAAAGCCUGACGGAGCAACGCCGCGUGAGUGAUGAAGGUCUUCGGAUCGUAAAACUCUGUUAUUAGGGAAGAACAUAUGUGUAAGUAACUGUGCACAUCUUGACGGUACCUAAUCAGAAAGCCACGGCUAACUACGUG
Molecule: ribosomal RNA, 496 nt
Filed under: uncultured bacterium
Lineage: Bacteria
Description: partial 16S ribosomal RNA
Rfam family: Bacterial small subunit ribosomal RNA
Source: RNAcentral